This 1582-nucleotide long non-coding RNA is filed under the name Pogona vitticeps (central bearded dragon). RNAcentral's name for it is "lncRNA (ENSPVIG00000004618.1)". The record is from RNAcentral. Lineage: Eukaryota; Metazoa; Chordata; Lepidosauria; Squamata; Agamidae.
CAUGCAAUGAUUUGAAAAAAUCCACUCAGCUGGAAACACUUGCAAAGCUCCUCUAGUUGGGAGUAGAAAGAGGGUAUAAAAGUCCUUUGGUGAGAGCUGAAAGCAUGUAAGUGUUCAGGAGGAAAUGUGAUGCAAGCAGAAUUUUCAUGUUUGGGAAAAUUAGAUUUCAAAGGAUUCCUGUGCUCAACUGCCAUCAUAAAGCAAAGCAUGCUAAUCUGCAAACUGUAUGAGAUGUGUAAGUUUACAGCAGUCAAGGAAGUCUCUCUUCUAGUUUUUUUCUACAGUUUUUCUGUAAUAUCUCUUUCUGCCUUGGGAUUCUUGUCUUGACAGGUUCCUUCUUCUGAAAACUUUGCAAGCACAUUCAGCUGAACAUACUUACAAACCCAUAAUCAAAUUUUGUACUCUAUUCACUUUCUGUUUGGAUCUUCACAACCCACUAAACACUUACUUGGAACUUCCAUCAGGCAGAUCUGUUCAAUCCAUCUAAGCAGAGGUCUUUCUUUUCUUUCCCUUGCAAAUCUGUUCCAGGGCAGACCUUUGUAGAUUAUAUUUUAUAGAAAAGAAGUGUAUAUGUUUGUGUGCACGUUUUUCAAAUGGUACCAAGGCAGAAACAAUGAACAAUCACAAAGCAUAACUCUUCAAGGAGAGUUAGGAAUGUGCACAGAAGUAGUGAACAUCCUUUUGCACCACUGGCAAAAAAAGAACCACAUAGGGCCAUCAUGUGGGGGAGGGGUGACAAGAAGGAUUUGGGGCCCUUAAUGAAUGCCUGCCCCCAUUGACUUAAAAAUGUUUUGUGCACAUUUUAGAAAUACAAGCAGUGUUUCAUGUACAUGUUAUCAAGUACAUUUUUUCUCUUUCCUUCACAGAAUGUACCAAAGCCCAGAAAUAUACAGGCUUCUAACCACAAAUUGUGUCUGUUUGGUCUGAAAGGCACAGACAAGGUUCUCAGCAACAGACCAAAGGAAAAAUGUGAACUGAUAUCUUUUUUCCCCAUAUCCAUGGCCAUUCCUAUAGUUGCAGAUAUUCAAACUACUUCACAGAAACAACCAAUUUAUGGAAAAGGUGGCAGCAGCACUACAUAUUAUUGUCAUUCAGGAGGACGUCUUCUACUUCAGCAUGUAACUUCCCUGAUCAAUGUGUUGCUCUUCCCUUGGAUUAAUGAACAUGCCGUGUACUCUUUCUUGAACCCUUGGGAAAGAUCAAUGGCCAUUUCAUGUCACGUUGCCCCAUUGCUGCCAAAUUGCUCUAGACAAACUUCUAUUGAGCAAAAACACCUUUUCCAGAUCUGGUCAAAGAGUCUGAUUAAAAAUCCAUCCAGUUGCUUCCUCUCAUUAUAGGUCACACUGGUGGGCGUGGGGGGGAAUCAUCCUCUAAAAUUACUCUUGCCAGGUAAAAGAUCUAGGCAGAACAAAUGGGUAUUGAAUUCAGGCUGUACUUAAUGCUCUGGGGCCCGGUUUGUCCAUUUUCUACUUUGCUGACUCUUUUUGCUUUAUAACCCUCAUGCCCUGGGUCUCAGAGUGUCUUGUGAGGAAGAUCCACCUGUACUUCUUGCUUAUAUAACUCUGAGUGUGCAGCUAAGAAA